RNAcentral lists this ribosomal RNA (800 nucleotides) under Agrococcus sp. JSM 2215100. RNAcentral's name for it is "bacterial SSU rRNA". It matches the Rfam family "Bacterial small subunit ribosomal RNA", at positions 31 to 841 of the family's 1533-position model. Lineage: Bacteria; Bacillati; Actinomycetota; Actinomycetes; Micrococcales; Microbacteriaceae. The record is from RNAcentral.
GGUUUUUGGGUGGGGGGUCUUACCAUGCAGUCGAACGAUGAAGGAGGAGCUUGCUCCUCCGGAUUAGUGGCGAACGGGUGAGUAAUACGUGAGCAAUGUGCCCUUGACUCUGGGAUAAGCGCUGGAAACGGCGUCUAAUACCGGAUACGACCCUCGGAGGCAUCUCCUGAUGGUGGAAAGAACUUCGGUCAAGGAUCAGCUCACGGCCUAUCAGCUAGUUGGUGAGGUAACGGCUCACCAAGGCGACGACGGGUAGCCGGCCUGAGAGGGUGACCGGCCACACUGGGACUGAGACACGGCCCAGACUCCUACGGGAGGCAGCAGUGGGGAAUAUUGCACAAUGGGCGCAAGCCUGAUGCAGCAACGCCGCGUGAGGGACGAAGGCCUUCGGGUUGUAAACCUCUUUUAGCAGGGAAGAAGCGAAAGUGACGGUACCUGCAGAAAAAGCACCGGCUAACUACGUGCCAGCAGCCGCGGUAAUACGUAGGGUGCAAGCGUUGUCCGGAAUUAUUGGGCGUAAAGAGCUCGUAGGCGGUUUGUCGCGUCUGCUGUGAAAACCCGAGGCUCAACCUCGGGCUUGCAGUGGGUACGGGCAGACUAGAGUGCGGUAGGGGAGAUUGGAAUUCCUGGUGUAGCGGUGGAAUGCGCAGAUAUCAGGAGGAACACCGAUGGCGAAGGCAGAUCUCUGGGCCGUAACUGACGCUGAGGAGCGAAAGCAUGGGGAGCAAACAGGCUUAGAUACCCUGGUAGUCCAUGCCGUAAACGUUGGGAACUAGAUGUGGGGACCAUUCCACGGUCUC